This 87-nucleotide transfer RNA is filed under the name Salmonella enterica. Its description in RNAcentral is "tRNA-Tyr". It matches the Rfam family "tRNA". Rfam says of the family: Transfer RNA (tRNA) molecules are approximately 80 nucleotides in length. Their secondary structure includes four short double-helical elements and three loops (D, anti-codon, and T loops). Further hydrogen bonds mediate the characteristic L-shaped molecular structure. tRNAs have two regions of fundamental functional importance: the anti-codon, which is responsible for specific mRNA codon recognition, and the 3' end, to which the tRNAs corresponding amino acid is attached (by aminoacyl-tRNA synthetases). tRNAs cope with the degeneracy of the genetic code in two manners: having more than one tRNA (with a specific anti-codon) for a particular amino acid; and 'wobble' base-pairing, i.e. permitting non-standard base-pairing at the 3rd anti-codon position. Lineage: Bacteria; Pseudomonadati; Pseudomonadota; Gammaproteobacteria; Enterobacterales; Enterobacteriaceae. The record is from RNAcentral.
GGUGGGGGUUCCCGAGCGGCCAAAGGGAGGCAGACUGUAAAUCUGCCGUCAUCGACUUCGAAGGUUCGAAUCCUUCCCCCACCACCA